CCUGGGCUCAACCUAGGAAUCGCAUUUGAAACUGACAAGCUAGAGUACUGUAGAGGGGGGUAGAAUUUCAGGUGUAGCGGUGAAAUGCGUAGAGAUCUGAAGGAAUACCGGUGGCGAAGGCGGCCCCCUGGACAGAUACUGACACUCAGAUGCGAAAGCGUGGGGAGCAAACAGGAUUAGAUACCCUGGUAGUCCACGCCGUAAACGAUGUCUACUUG
This 218-nucleotide ribosomal RNA is filed under the name Vibrio cholerae. Its description in RNAcentral is "partial 16S ribosomal RNA". It matches the Rfam family "Bacterial small subunit ribosomal RNA", at positions 602 to 819 of the family's 1533-position model. Lineage: Bacteria; Pseudomonadati; Pseudomonadota; Gammaproteobacteria; Vibrionales; Vibrionaceae. The record is from RNAcentral.